GGGUACAGGGUGAUACUCCCGUACACAAAGGUGCACAGGCUGUGAGUUCGAUGAGUAAGGCGGGACACGUGGUAUCCUGUCUGAAUAUGGGGGGCCCAUCCUCCAAGGCUAAAUACUCCUGACUGACCGAUAGUGAACCAGUACCGUGAGGGAAAGGCGAAAAGAACCCCGGCGAGGGGAGUGAAACAGAACCUGAAACCGUGUACGUACAAGCAGUGGGAGCCUACUUGUUAGGUGACUGCGUACCUUUUGUAUAAUGGGUCAGCGACUUAUAUUCUGUAGCAAGGUUAACCGUAUAGGGGAGCCGAAGGGAAACCGAGUCUUAAUUGGGCGUUAAGUUGCAGGGUAUAGACC
This 354-nucleotide ribosomal RNA is filed under the name Bacillus wiedmannii. RNAcentral's name for it is "bacterial LSU rRNA". It matches the Rfam family "Bacterial large subunit ribosomal RNA", at positions 354 to 715 of the family's 2925-position model. Lineage: Bacteria; Bacillati; Bacillota; Bacilli; Caryophanales; Bacillaceae. The record is from RNAcentral.